Molecule: non-coding RNA, 8657 nt
Organism: Coturnix japonica (Japanese quail)
Lineage: Eukaryota; Metazoa; Chordata; Aves; Galliformes; Phasianidae
Source: RefSeq, a predicted model, not a curated record
ACUUCAGUGGCCAGUAUGUUUGCCACACCCUGCUCUGUGCAAAAAACAUAUGCCAUGUUGGCAGGGUUCCAUGUCUGACAAGGUAGGUAAGGGCCUUAGCCAGCAAACUCCAUCUUUCAAAGACUGCGUGUGGCAGUGGAAUAAAUAGCUGCCUUCAACCACCCAUUCCUGGUUCUGUUUCUCCCAGCUGUCACAAAUGAUUUUCCAGAUGAGAUUAAGAGGCUGAAAUGCUUAAACAUUAGUGGAGGGGACUUCUGUCCAAGGUGAUGGUAGAUUUUUAGUGCCCAGACUCAUGAGAUGAAUGACCACUGAUGAAGUAAAUCAUGGUUUCAGCUGUCAGGGCUGUAAUUGUAGACAAAAGGACCAGUUCAGACUUGUGUUCAAAAAGAAAAAACAAAAUCCCAAGUAUAAGCUUUUAUUGAAACCAAAUGUGCUUGUAAAAGGCAGGAGUUAUUUAAGAAGAUGUGUACUUAAGUGUGCAUAGUUAAGUGCCAGUUGUCAGCUCUUCAUUAGAAGCCCUAUAAAUAACUCCUCAUCCAUUUCUGUGUUAUGAGAGGUGCAUGUGAUAGUAAGAGAUUAUCUCGGACAUGCUUUGCUCUCAGCACCCAUCCAAUUCUGCUUCGGGAGGAUCAAUUCAUUCCCUUUCAAGCUUGUUUUCCCCUGGCUUACUGCAGUGCUAUCAAAUAGUCAGAAUUCUUCCUCCUGAAGAUUUGCCAAGGGAUAAUUGCUUUCAGUGCUGGGAUAAACAUGAAAACACUACUCGUAAUGUCCUAAGCCAUUCAUUGGUGUGUGGGUUUUUGUUUUUGUUGUUUUUGCUUUCAGUCCACCAAUCCCAGUGAGUUACAUCCCUCGAUAAACAUCUCACCAGCAAACCAAUUACAGUCAUCCAAGUAGAAACAUAUACGUGCUGUUUGCUAACAAAAAGAAGAACACACCAUUAGGCAGCAAAAGCUUUCGAAGUUCAACAAGCCUCUGACAUAUGUUUGUAUAUAUGUAUAUGAUUUAAAAAAAGUUCUGUAAACUAAUUUUUUUUUUAAGCUUGACCAAUAACAAAAACCACUUGUUUACAGAAACUCCUAUGCUGCAGCAUGAGAAGCUCGCCUGGAAUGCUGUGGCUUGGGUAGAAGAUGAGUUCAUGGCACAGAUGGGGAGGUGAGUGCCAGGUGGCACACAGCAGCCAAGCAGUGCAAGCAGAUGACAGAGGAAAAGAUUCUGCGACAAAAGGGACAGUACAAGUCAUUUGUUGGUGACAAUGGAACAUGCUUUUCGGAGUGUGGAAACUGUGGAGACAGCAUCGAGGACUGGAAAAUAAUAAAGUCAGGUGUCAAGAUGUUGAAGGCAAAAGCAGCCAGCUGAGUCAAAGGAAGAAGGACGGAAGGAGUGACUCAAAUAGUCAAAGAGCAUGAGGCUAACAGUGAAACAGUGAUCCUGGUCGUUUGAUGAGAAAAUAGGAAAGUGGAGGGACCCUCUAGAACAGACCCCACUUCUUCUCUUUUUAGUAUUUUACAUGGAAAGACGCCGAGUUUGGCAACCUUUCAAAGCUUGCAGUCUUUUGGCUGAACUAUUUUGAGUCUGGGAGCAUUUGGUUAUUCUUUGCCCAAAUGUCAGCACUCUGCUCUCUAUUAGAUGUGUGCAACGAGUGAUUUCACUUAACCAAAGCCCUGGUUUUCCACAGGAAACUGUUUGCAGUGGAAGAAGGCUUGGCUUUACCUCAAACAGCAUCCUUGCAGGGCCAGGUGCCCGCAGCAGCCUCAGAGCUGCUCAGCAAUGCUUCUGACAGCAAGCAGAGCAGCCACCAGGACCCACAGGGAGGGCAGGGAGAACUUUUAAUUAAGGAACCAGAAAAUGCUGCCUGUGAUGUUAUUUUGUUGUUCAACAACUUACCUUGUGAGGAGGGAGUACAAUGUUCUCCAGAUGAGAGAAGUGGAUUUUCUGUGUUUUGGACUGAUUCAGAGAGGCCCCUCAGAAAAUACUUCAGAACAACCUUAAAAUAGCCUGCUCCACUAAUACCAAGGAAACACUUCUUCUUGCCAAGAAACUGCAAUCCUAUUUUUCAUGCCCACUGAUUUUGGAAAGCAGACUUAUAAGUCUCCGUUUGUGUUGGGCCCCUUUCUGAGUAAAGAGCAUUAGGAAGAUCAAGGUUGCUUUGUGCUUUGUUUGAAGAGCUAUCAAACAGCAGCAGUAUCAGAUAAUGAGGAUUAUAAUGCUACAGCUCUCUACAAUUUUAUGCAUUUUAAUUACUGGUACAAAAUGUAUCCCGCGAGACAUCUGAGGCUCAGAAACAGGCACUAACUAAACAAAGUGUGCUGAUAUCUCUGUUUUCCUGAACUGCAUCAACAACAAAAUUCUCUGACAGGUCAACACAACCUCCUCCUCCCCCUCUCCUCUGAGCUGCUGGUGCUGAGCAGCAUUUUGAUAAUCGUCUGAUUUAUGUAAUGGCAGAUAAACUCAAAAAGCAGGAAUAAAUUGGGCCAGGAAAUCCAGCGGCCUUUCCAGCAGCUUUUCACAACCUCUAACUCUCCUUACCUCAAAUACCCAGCUGAAGUUUUACACAAAGGAAGCCCAUUUUCCUCUUCGUGGGACCAACGAUUCUACAAAGACGCACUGAUAUAUGGAAAGUAGAUACACAAUUGGCAUCCCCUACUCAUGGAAGACCUCACCCCAGUCACCAGUUUGCAGAGCUUAACAGUGAGAUAACUCAGUAUCAGAAACCUGCCUUGCUAUCCUCUCAUUGCCUUUUUGAGAGCCGAACUAUGAAGGAGCACUCUGAUUCUCUAGCUUGAGCAAACAUGAGUAGGUCUGAUCACUGAAAACAAAUACAUCUGUUGGGGUGGAAGAUCCACAGGAUGCGUCAGGACAUGUGGCUGCCCAGCAAUGUUAGACAAGAGCUGGGUGCCCUUCUACCCAUCUACAAUCUUCAGCCCAAUUUGAAACUGAAUAGGAUUUCAAGCCACUCAUGAAGAUUUAAAAUUAGUGGCUGCUUCACACAACUCAGCACGGACAUAAGAAACCAAAGGGAAAAUCUUCAGAGUGGGAUACACCUUGUAGAGCAGACAGAAUCAAAUGAAGUCCCACGCAGACUCCACUUGUCACCUUCCUUCCUUCCAUCUUCCUUCUUUCCAUGCUCCUUUGGGACCUGAAGAUCAUGGACUAUGUACUGAGGUCAAUGGGAGAUGACAAGUUGACCCUGGAGGAGUGGAAAAGGGACACAGCAUUGUGAUAAAGAAUAUGCAGAGGUUAGGGGAACAUAGGCUACAGGUUAGCAAGUUAUUCCAACAGCCUUACUCUGCUGUCAAAAUGAUGGUAUUUUAGCUCCUGUCCAGACUGCUGGCUCUGGGCUGGUGAACAGGAUUGUGUUCAUUGACUACUGUUCAUUCACUAUCUAUGUACCAUGUGGAGACCCCAGUGCUAUAUAGAUUUGCUGAACCCAAAGCAUCUCUCAUCUAAUUCAUUCCCUUCCUAUGUGGAGUCAUGCCCAUGGGUAAGAGGCACACCACUGUGAUCCAUAUUUAUGGGACACCGUGAUGUUUCUAGGAGGAGAGUGCUCAGAGGCUGUCAGUUCCCAGUGUGCGUGUAUGUGCCUGUACUGGUGUGCAUGCUGACUGUGCUGUUCUGCAGAGCAGGAGAUAAGGAUGGGAUUAUCCUGUGUCUGGCAGCCACAGGCUCCUCAGAACUUUCUCUGAAGCAUCUGGUGCUGGCUAGUGUCAGAGCUGGGAUACUGACCCCUGUGUCUAGGCAAGUCUGGCAGUUCAGCUGUUUCUAGGCACUAGACAGGAGCAGACUGUUUUCUAGCAUUGGGUGGCUCGUAUUUCUCACCAACACUGACAGCCAAAUGUCACUUUCACAUUCCCUCUUGCUCUUAGCGCACAACCUUGGGCUGAGGGUCAGGGGGUAGAUCCUGGAUGUUCCCAUGCAAGGAAAAUCAAUUUUGGUUCACAAAAGACAGAGAGGUCGGUGCAGGAGGUCACAGCAUGGUUUCGGUUGCUCUUUGGGUUUAGAAGUUUCAGUGAGGAGGAGGAAGGGGGAUGAACAAGGAGCUAUUGAUGGAACAGGGCUGUUUCCAGGCUGGUAGAAUGAGAGCAUGAGGAGAGGUGAAGGCAGAGGGACCGUCUGCACUGGAGAGGGACCUAUCCCCUUGUGCCAGAACCCCAGCUAUCCCUAAAUCUCAUCACUUGCUCUACUUUGGCCUCACUUCAUCUCACUGUGUAAAGGGAUGCCUACCAAGUUGGGAUAUCAGAUAUGACCAGAGGCUUUUGACUUUGUGGAGCAUUUUGAUACCUGUUUGCCUUUCUCCUUGCAGGAGCUGUGCAGGGCUUCAGCUGUGGCACCAAACCCCUGCAAACAUGGAUGGUGUUGCAGCUGUAAUGUACACUGCAAAACACAGCAGUUCCCAAGGCCUGGAGCAGUGCUGUUGUCUUCAUCUGGUGACAGAUUCAUGGUGUCCAGUGCUUCACUGAAUUUAGUGAGUUACAUCAGGAGCAGAAAAUGAAUCGGGAUCUUAGCUUGCAUUGCCAAGAUCUUGGCAUUUAGUACAUAUUUGGUGCUGCUAUAAAUACAUUAUUUGGCUGUGAUUCUUAUUUAUAGAUUUUUUUAAGUUCAGCCUCACUUUUUCUUUGCACCAAGAGAACGAGAUGAGUCCCAAAGUGCCCACCAGCACUUGGGAAGGCAGAAUAGUUCCAGCGGGGCUCUUUCUGUCCCCACGCUGCCUGCUGCCUUCUCACCAUGGUUGGAAAAAGCCCAAAUGCUCCAUUCAACCCAGGGUUGUUUGGAGUUCCCAGGAAUUUCACCCCAUGACUUUGACCUUUGACAAGAACACUUAAUUAUUUCCAGCUCUCAAGCCAGGUCAUAAAACAGCCCUUUGAAGAAGUUUCCUGCUAUACAUAAAGGAGAUGUCCGGGCUCUGCUCAUUGUGGAGUUUACAUUCCUUGAAUUGAGGGGCUUCUUGAACUGAUGGGGCCCUGGGUCAAAGAGUUCAAUGUUUGGGUUUGUUUUUAGAAGAGAUGGAUCCCUGUUACAGAAUUUGUUCCUCUGUCCAGUCUUUAUACCUCACAAAAUUUUCCUUUUUUAUUUCAGCUUCCCACCUCUUCCUGCCCUCAAUUCUGGAAUUUGAAAUUGCUUCAUUAUAAAGGCAGAAUUUGUCUGCAUAAUUGUAAAUCUACUGGCGGAAUAAAAACUAUUCCACCCUUUUCUUGUCGGCAGGGUCGCGUUUGGAGACUAACCAGUAUUUUAUUCAUCCACAUACUCUGCAGCAGCUGCUUUGUGCUCCUGAGCCUUGGAUUUUUUGGCAGCAGCUUUUGGACGUCUCUCUUCUCCUGGAUGAUGUGCGGCACACAUUCUCUGUACAGCAAGAUAAACUUUCCUUUUUUCCUUUUCUGAUAAGGCUCUUUUUGCGCUCCGGUUGGUCAGGGCAAUAUUUCCCCUCCAGCCAAAAAAUGACCUCUCCAAAGCAUGAGCUGUGCUGGGCUGUGCAAUGAACUGAAGGCAAGGCACCGGCGUGGGACGGGACUAGCUGGAGCAUCGGGCCAAGCUCUGCUGGCACUGAGGUCUGGCGGGGAACACAGCUCUGCCUUCCCCUGGUCACAACAUUACCAGUAAUUGCUUCUUUUUCCUUACAUGGGGAUGUGGGUGGUGGGGACAUUCUUUGGAAAUGAAAAGGCAGCUCUUGCUACCAAACAACGCUUGCCCACAUUUUUAGCAUGAUGCACCGUAACGCAGCAAAACAGAGCUGAAAAAAAAAAACCCAACAAAAACAAGUUUUUACUGAAAUCCCUAUUUUUAGAGCAGCUUCCCAGCUUUUGCAGCUGCGGGCAGAGACACGGUACCUGGAGCUGGGGUGGGAGCAGGGCAGGGACUGAAGGUUCAAUUUCAGCAUGCGAGAUUGUAGAAUCAUAGAAUGAUUUAGGUUGGAAGGGACCUGUAAGAUCCUCUAUUUCCAACCCCCUGCUAUAGGCAGAGAUACCUCCCACAUGACCAGGUUGCUCAAAGCCUCAUCCAGCCUGGCCUUGGAUGCUUCCAGGGAAGGAGCAUUCACAACCUCAUGGUUGUUUUACGGCAUAAAUGUUUCACUGUGAGGUUAGGAAACCAAUGUCGCAGACACUAUAUUUUCUACAGUUGUGGUGUAUUAAGUCAUGGUGCUUUGUGGUUAGGUAUAACAUCAGGCCGCUACAGAGCUGCAUUUGGAGAAUCAUGGCUUUCAUCCUCUAAUUGGGAGGAUGAAAAGCAUUUCAUUAUCAACAACAAGAAUAUUAUCCUUUUUAACUUGCUUUACUGUGCUCAGGGAAUAUAUAUAUAUAUAUAGAUAGGUAGGUAGGUAGAUGUACAUAUAUAUGUAUGUAUUACUUUUUUGUUGUGUUGGCAUUUUGUGGACUUCUGUGAUUUGGUUUUAAAGUUGCAUGUUACUCCGUACUCUGCUGUUCUGCUUAAUGAAGGAACACAGGCAAAUAUGUGUUGGAGGAGGUGUGAGGCUCAAAAAAACAGGGAUGUCAUUUUCUUCUCCAAAUGACGGAGAUGUACACAAGGCUGAACUCCCAGGUACACCACUGGAUAAUGCACCAAACUGGCCUCCAGUGGCUUAAUCCCAGGUAGUAGGGAGUAGGGCUUAGGAGGAGGCCUACAAAACACGAUUAUUGAUGGUUUACAGACAUGUAUGAGAGAGUAAACAAGGAACUUCUUGACUUUUCAGGGAAACAUGUAGCGUGCCUUUCCUAAACCACCAAGUAAUUAUCAUGCUCGUGGUUUUACAAAGAAAACCCUCAGCUAAGUGGUGAAGGGAGAGGCGUGGUUUAUGAGAGCCACAGCACGGCUCCUCUUAAAACUGCAGGGGAUUAGCCAGGAUGCUGCUGGAAGGGAGGCUCCUUUGUGUGUUAUCUGCGGAUACCAUUGAGAAUAGUACUGCCCUGGGAUAGCCUAAAGGAAGAAUUUGUCCCAGUUGCAGCAGAAGCUUUGGAAAUUAGUGGAGUGAUAUAGCUUGUUGUUUAUCUAGCAGCAAAAUCCUCUCCCUCAUGAGCUCUGUGACAAAGAAAUAUUCUGUGUUGGAAGCUCUACAGUUGGAGCCCUUAGAGGUUUUGCAGUCCUUGAUUUCAGGCCCAUAGCAAGGAAUUGCUUCAAGCUUAAAAAAAAAAAGAAGAAAAGAAUGGAGUCUGAACUCUCCUUAGUUAACCUUUUUUCUCCAUCCAUGGUUUUCUGAUGCCCUGAGCUGCCAUUUUCAUGUACUUCCUCAAUGGAAACGGGACUGGUGGAGUUUAGAAAGCAAGGCUGUGUACAGCACAGACACUCAAUCUUACAGUUUGGAAAGCAGAGAGAAUGUGUCAGAGAGGCAGCAGUGGUUACUUGGGCUAUUUCAUCCUUCUGGUAUGUUUUUACCCCCAUGGUUGAUGAUUGCUAGCAUAAGCAAGGUAUUUGUCAUUGUCAUAUUACAUCCUUAUCUCUAAAUUAGAGAGACGUGGGUGUGAUGGAUGGACCACUCGGUGGAUAAGUAAUUGGCUGGAUUGUCACAUUCAAAGAGCUGUUAUCAGCAAAUUAUGUCUGAGUGGAGAGCUGUGACAAGGGGUGUUCCUCAGGGCUUGUUAUUGAGACUUGCACUGUUUAGUACCUUUGUUGGCAAUAUGGACAGUGAGAAUGAAUGCACCCUCAGCAAAUUUGCCAAUGACACUAAGCCAUGUGGUGCAGUUAAUAUACUGGAGAGACAGGAUGCCAUCCAGAAGGACCUGGAGAGGCUUGAGAGGUGGACCCAUGCAGAUCUCAUGAAGUUCAACAAGAACAAGUGCAAGUUCAAUUGGGUUGGAGUAAUUCUGAGCACAAAUAGAGGCUGGGUAGAGAAUGGACUGAAAUCAGCUCCAAGGAGAAGGACUUGUGGGUGUUGGUAGAUGAGAAGAUCAAUAUUACCCAGCAACAUACCCUUGCAGCCCAGAAAGCCAAACGUAUCCUAUACUGCAUCAAAAAAAGCAUGACCAGCAGAUCGAGGAAGGUGAUUGUCCCCCUCUUCUCCACUCUCCUGAGGCCUCACCUGCAGAACUGUGUUCAGCUGGGGCACCCUGCAUAAGGACACAGAACUGUUGGAGUGAGACCAGAGGAAGCCAUGAGAAUGAUCAGAGGGUUGGACCACCUCUUCUCUGAAGACAAGGUGAUGCAGUUGGGGUUGUUCAACCUGGAGGGAGCUCCAGGAAGACCUUAUUAUAGCCUUCCAGUACCAUACAGGAGCCAUCCAGUACUUUCAGGAGCCAUCCAGGAAAAUUGGGGAGGGGCUCUUUCUCAGAGAAUAUAGUGGUAGGAAAAGGGGUAGCAAUUUUAAGCUAAAAAAGGGCAGAUUUCUAUUAGAUAGAAGGAAGAAAUUAUUCAUGAUGAUGGUGGCAAGGUGCUGGCAGAGGCUUCCUGGAGGAGAUGUGAAUUCCUCAUCCAUGGAGACAUUCAAGGCCAGGUUGGAAGGGGCUUGAUCUAGUGGGAUGUGUCCUAACUUAUGGAAGUGGAGUUGGAACUGGAUGGUCUUCAAUGUUCUUUCCAAUCUAUUUUAAUUUGACUUGGCUGGAGACUGAGCACCACAGUCAUUUGUUUGCUCUCUCCUGUCCCAGUGGAAUGGGACAGAGAACCAGAAAAAGAAAAAGGAAAGUUUGUGGGUCAAGAUAAAAACUAUUUAAUAAGAAAGAAAAUAAUAAUAAUAC